AAUAAAUGACGCCGUUGACUUUUUCUCACAUGUUUGACCCUUCGUUUUAUUCAAAAAAUUUACCUAAUUAUAAUUUAUUUUGUUAUGAGUUGUUUUAUCAUUCAUAGUACUUUAAGUGUGAUUUAUAUAUUAUACAUUUGCAUAAAAUUUUUAAAUAAGACAAAUGGUCAAACAUAUAUGAAAAAGUCAAUGACGUCAUCUAUU
RNAcentral lists this microRNA precursor (204 nucleotides) under Oryza nivara. RNAcentral's name for it is "MIR812 microRNA precursor family". It matches the Rfam family "MIR812 microRNA precursor family". Lineage: Eukaryota; Viridiplantae; Streptophyta; Magnoliopsida; Poales; Poaceae. The record is from Rfam by way of RNAcentral.